RNAcentral lists this ribosomal RNA (492 nucleotides) under uncultured bacterium. RNAcentral describes it as "partial 16S ribosomal RNA". It matches the Rfam family "Bacterial small subunit ribosomal RNA", at positions 29 to 507 of the family's 1533-position model. The record is from RNAcentral.
AGUGAACGCUGGCGGUAGGCCUAACACAUGCAAGUCGAACGGCAGCACAGUAAGAGCUUGCUCUUACGGGUGGCGAGUGGCGGACGGGUGAGGAAUACAUCGGAAUCUACUUUUUCGUGGGGGAUAACGUAGGGAAACUUACGCUAAUACCGCAUACGACCUACGGGUGAAAGCAGGGGAUCUUCUGACCUUGCGCGAUUGAAUGAGCCGAUGUCGGAUUAGCUAGUUGGCGGGGUAAAGGCCCACCAAGGCGACGAUCCGUAGCUGGUCUGAGAGGAUGAUCAGACAAACUGGAACUGAGACACGGUCCAGACUACUACGGGAGGCAGCAGUGGGGAAUAUUGGACAAUGGGCGCAAGCAUGAUCCAGCCAUACCGCGUGGGUGAAGAAGGCCUUCGGGUUGUAAAGCCCUUUUGUUGGGAAAGAAAAGCAGCAGGCUAAUACCCCGCUGUUCUGACGGUACCCAAAGAAUAAGCACCGGCUAACUUCGUG